GACGAACGCUGGCGGCGUGCCUAAUACAUGCAAGUCGAACGCAGUGGGGACGGGUGAGUAACACGUGGGUAACCUCCCAUCAGAGGGGAUAACACUUGGAAACAGGUGCUAAACCGAUACUGAUGGAUGGACCCGCGGGGCAUUAGCUAGUUGGUGAGGUAACGGCUCACCAAGGCGACGAUCCGUAGCUGGUUUGAGAGGACGACCAGCCACACUGGGACUGAGACACGGCCCAGACUCCUACGGGAGGCAGCAGUGGGGAAUAUUGGACAAUGGGGGAAACCCUGAUCCAGCCAUCCCGCGUGUAUGAUGAAGGCCUUCGGGUUGUAAAGUACUUUUGGCAGGGAGGCGGUAUCUACACAGGAAGCCACGGCUAACUACGUGCCAGCAGCCGCGGUAAUAC
Molecule: ribosomal RNA, 403 nt
Filed under: uncultured bacterium
Lineage: Bacteria
Description: partial 16S ribosomal RNA
Rfam family: Bacterial small subunit ribosomal RNA
Source: RNAcentral